Molecule: non-coding RNA, 1178 nt
Organism: Odocoileus virginianus texanus
Lineage: Eukaryota; Metazoa; Chordata; Mammalia; Artiodactyla; Cervidae
Source: RefSeq, a predicted model, not a curated record
UGGACCGGAGCCGUUGGACUGGACACGAUCCGAAGGGUCAGGGAGUGCGGGAUGCGAGUGUGGAGCUUGGAUUUCAGAGCGUGGCUAGCAGCUAGCAUGAUGGGCGGGGAGCAGGGGGAGGUUCGGUUCGACGGCAUGUUGCUGGCUAUGGUGCAGCAACACGAGGGCGGCGUGCAGGAGCUGGUGAACACUUUCUUCAGCUUCCUUCGACGCAAAACAGACUUCUUUAUUGGAGGAGAAGAAGGCAUGGCAGAAAAGCUUAUCACACAGACCUUCAACCCCCACAGCCAGCUGGCACAGAAGGCCCGGUGGGAGAAGCGAGCUCGGCAGGAGACUGAACGGCAGGAGAAGGCGGAGCGGGCAGCCAGGUUGGCCAAGGAGGCCAAGUCAGAGACCUCUGGGCCCCAGAUCAAGGAACUGACUGAGGAGGAGGUCGAGAGGCUACAGCUGGAAAUUGACCAGAAAAAGGAUGUCGAUAAUCAGGAGGCCCAGCUCAAGAAUGGCAGUCUUGGCUCCCCAGGGAAGCAGGAGGCCGAGGAGGAGGAGGACGAGGAGGACGAGAAGGACAAAGGGAAACUGAAGCCCAACCUUGGCAACGGGGCGGACCUACCCAGUUACCGCUGGACCCGGACCCUGUCGGAGCUGGACCUGGCCGUUCCAUUCUGUGUGAACUUCAGGCUGAAGGGGAAGGACGUGGUGGUGGAUAUCCAGCGGAGGCAUCUCUGGGUGGGGCUCAAGGGACAGCCAGCGAUCGUGGAUGGGGAGCUCUACAACGAGGUGAAGGUGGAGGAGAGCUCAUGGCUCAUCGAGGUGGUGACGGUGCAUCUGGAGAAGAUCAACAAAAUGGAGUGGUGGAGCCGCUUGGUAUCCAGUGACCCCGAGAUCAAUACUAAGAUCAACCCCGAGAACUCCAAGCUGUCGGACCUGGAUAGUGAGACCCAUCGCAUGGUGGAGAAGAUGAUGUAUGACCAGAGACAGAAGUCCAUGGGGCUGCCUACCUCGGAUGAGCAGAAGAAACAGGAGAUUCUGAAGAAGUUCAUGGGUCAGCAUCCAGUGAGAGACUUUUCCAAGCCCAGAUUCAACUAGCCCCUGUGUUUGUUCCCCUGAACUCUCCAGGCUGAGCUCCUGGCUCCUCACUUUCCUCUCCCACCCUCCCUGGGACUGGUGGGCUGAAGGGC